RNAcentral lists this long non-coding RNA (206 nucleotides) under Gossypium raimondii (Peruvian cotton). Its description in RNAcentral is "long non-coding RNA (GRAI_LNC003198)". The record is from RNAcentral. Lineage: Eukaryota; Viridiplantae; Streptophyta; Magnoliopsida; Malvales; Malvaceae.
GGGUUGAUGCUGUCUGUCGUGUCAAUUGGAAAGUAAUUAAGUAAGUUUCAUCAUCAUUCCUUUCUAUUCCGCAAAAUGUCUAUUGGUUUUGUUCACGUGUUCGAAUUGGAUAUUUUUUUGUUGUUGUAUUUGAAUUCUUUGUUAAGUGAUCAUUGGUUUUCUUUUAGGCAUAGAUACCGAAGGUAGAGUUCUCUCGCGCUUUAAUU